GGUGAGAGGCGUGACACUCUGGCCAAGUAAGUCAUAAUGGUAAUAGAAACGUUUUUUGUUUGUUUGUUUGUUUGUUUGUUUCAUGUUAUGCAUAAACCUUUCAGUAACAAGUAUAUUUGCUACAGAGUGGUUUUCAACCCUGGCUGCACGUUAAAAUCACCCGGGGAACUUUUGCAAAACACCGCCGAUGCUUGGGCUCCAUCCGGAAGCAGUGAAAUCAGAAUGUCUGGGGGCUGGGUUUUCUCAGAGCACCCCAGCUGGUGGUUUUCUGCACCAGGGGCGUCAGAAGCUGCUGUGGGGACUCGGGGAGGUUGGUUAGAGCAGGCUGAGGUCGAGAGUAGCCAAAGAAAGGAAAGGAAGCAGGGCUUAUCGGGGUGGGGGUAUGGUUGGUAGUGCUCCUCGGAGAAACUGGGAGCGGGGAGCGAGUUUUAACUCUGCUUUGAUGUUAUCAGGCUCUGGGGCCCUUCUGGUAGUUAGUAAAUGUGGUUCAUCAGGCUCCCGUAGCUCAUUGUUCACAUACUUCAAGGCUGGAGAACUUCACAACUGUCAUGGCCACUUCUUUGGACCCUUCCUCAGCUGCCUCACUCCCACUGGACGUGUCUCCCACACACCAGGCACUGUCCUAGGUACAUUACACUUACCAUAUGUAAGUUGCAUGUGGCCCAGAAGCCAGUGUUCUGCUGCCCAUUAUACAGAGGAGAAAACUGAGGCCCAGAGAGGCUAAAUCAUUUGCCCAGGGUCCCCAAACGUGUAAAUAGUGGAGAAGAGAAGGGGAAGACACUUGUUUCUGUCUCUAAAGACAGCCUCCUCUUUACACUGUACUCAGUAGCUCCUUAGCUUGUCCUGUUGGUGCCUUGGUGGGAAGGCCUUUGGCUUUCUUCUUUCAGAUAGUGAGGGAAUAUGAGAUGUGAAGGCAGCUUCUGAAGAGAUCACCUCUGACAUUGGGCAGGGCAAGGUAGUGUAAUGAAAACAUGCAAAUGAGCUGGGGCUGCGAGCCACAGGGCUAGAAAUUAGACCUCAGGCCGGAAGAAAUUAAAUGGCAGGGCAGUUCCAAUGUGAACACGCUGGGGCGCCUGGGUGGCUCUGUCAGUUAAGCGUCCGACUUUGGGUCAGGUCAUGAUCUCGCGGUUCGUGGGUUCGAGCCCCGCGUCGGGCUCUGUGCUGACAGCUCAGAGCCUGGAGCCUGUUUCGGAUUCUGUGUCUUCUCAGUCUGCCCCUCCACCACUCACACUGUGUGUGUGUGUGUGUGUGUGUGUGUGUGUGUGUGUGUGUGUGUGUGUGUCUCUUUCUCUCUCAAAAAUAAAGAAACCUAAAAAAAAUGUGCACAUGCUUUUUGUUUAACUACCAUGCCUUUGAUGUCUGUGACGUUACUUAAUCUCUCUGCUUGUCUUGUUUUGAUACGGCAGGCCUGUGUGGUGGUACCUGUGUGUUCAGGAUGGACUCCUGGCCUCCCCCCUUCAGGUGACCCAUGCUAAUGCUGGCCUUAAGACGUAGCUCAGUCCGUGCUGUCCAUCACUCCACUCUCUGCCUUCCAGAACAAAUGGACCGUGUGUGUCUCUUUCCCUUGACAAGAUGUUCUAUAAUCAUAUUUUCUGGCCUAAAACAAAAUUAGUCUCUUAAAUGUAAAACUCUUCUCCUGCACUUUUCUUAAUGGAUCGCUUUCCUUCGGGGAUUAUAAUGCUUAGUAGAAGGGGCCAACCCAUCUGUUUUCGCACCAUCUAGGGAGAAGAAGGUGUUAACCAUUUGCUGAGGAGGAAACUAAGGUUCUGUCCGUGUUGAAGGCAGACAAAACUUUUGUUGGGAGUCAGUCUCUAGGCCUUAAACCCAGGACGUGUCUGAAAGAAUUGUCAUGGCCCCUAACUUUGUGAUACCUCAUAUCUACCGGGGUUUGUUUGUUUGUUUGUUUUUUCCUGUGUGUGAAACAAGUAAUUUUCUGGCAUCAGUUGUUCAUAUCUGUGAUUUGGAGUCAUGGCCAUGUGCCUUCUUAUGUGAUGACCAGCUAAGUUCACGCAUCAGGAGCCCCCACUGUUCACACCUGGCCUCCCGCCUUCUUUACAUCUGGGAGGCAGAAGCCCUAGCAGAUUGGCAGACCCGCCCCCCCCAAGGGGUUGGAUAGGGAAAACUUUCAUUCAAACAACUCAGAAUGACCCGUGUUGGUCUGUUCUAAGUUUGAAUUCUGUCACUGAUUCAGCCUCCGUAUACUUUCCCUUGAAUGCCAGCUAAUAAAAAAGAUGAUGGCUUUCUUUUCCCUUCUCAUAAUAUUGCUAGCUUGGGGAGUUCUCUGGAAACCUUGCCUGAGAAGUCCAUGGCCAAAGAAAACAGCGAUACUUGGCCUUUAAAGUAUGAGCUGUGGCUCACUUAACGUCCUGUCUCUGAAACAGGCUGAGAAAGAGGGGAAGGUUUCUGGGAAGGGCUGUGGCAGAAGGUCUUAGCUGUGGCUGUGGGAUCCGCAGAUUGAAUUAGGGAAACGUCACACUCCAGAUCCCAGCCCUGGGCUUCACGUUGUGGCCAACUGGAUAGAGUCCGCUCCUUUUGAACCUGGGGAAGCCACCUUUCCCUUCGGCGAGUGCAGUGUCGGGGCUGGGGGGGGGGGUGCUUUCUCCCUGCUCCUGUCCAUGGGGGAUUAUUUCUAUUGGAAGAGGGGGGGUCCCGACUUAGCGUGAUUCCAGCCAGUGCAUUCCUUCUGCAUUGUGCGCAGAAGAGAAGGCCAUGGCCGCCCCUAAGACCUUCCUUGCCAGUAAACCCUCUUGACAGCUGGUAACUGGGAACAGGGUGCUUGCUCUUCUGGGUGGGCAAAGCCCUGUCUGGAUGUAGCUCAUGCUGGCUGGAUUUUUUUGUCACCCCCUGCCACCCCCCUCUCACCUUUAAAACAAAACAUGUACAGAAUCCAGUAUCUCUGUCCCUUCGUCUUCACCUCUGCUUUCUUUCUCCCUUCUUUUCCUCCUUCCAGUGCUGCCUUUAGCAACAGGGAGAGACGGAGUUAUAGUGGUUGAAGGUAGGGGGUGGUGGUGGUGCCACUCAGGAAAAAGAAAUCAGCUGAGAGAGAGAGAGAGAGAGAGAGAGAGAGAGAGCGAGCGAGCUUCAGGCGGGGAGGCGGGAGGAAGGCACCUUCCAAGCAUCACAGACCAGCUCCCAACCUCCCUGCGCCUCCUCUCUGAAGGAGGGUGAGGCACUUGGUUUGCGCCAACAUUAAACUGAUAAAUGAAAUUUGUACGUUAAAACAAUGAUAAUUUAAUUGUAUUUUCUUUCCUUCUUUCCCAUCCACGCUUCCUCCUCCCCCUACCUCUUACUCACUCUUCGGCUUUGGGUAAGGGGAGGGGGGGGUGGCUGUGGGGAGGGGGGGCCUUGCAAGCUGUCGGUUUGCAUUGUGCGGACGGGGAAAGGUCUCUACCUGGCUCAUUUUGUCCCCUUUGCUUAGGCUGUCACUGCUGACAGUCCUCAUGUUUAUUUCAUCUCGCGUGGUGGCUGUCUCGUUUCCCUACCCUCCGAUGUCAUUAACGCACAGAGAGCGGGCCCUGCAGUGUUGAGCCUAAUGAAUUCCGCUGUGGCUGCUCUGCUCCCCACCUCGUUACCAAAGCUCAAGGUGUCAAAUUAAACCCAGCCUAGAGAGAAAGAGAAAGUGCGGAGAGAACGCCAGAGCAGGGGAAGAGGGAGGUGCGGGGAGCACAUAAACAACCCUCCCAAAAAACGCAGGCGGGGAGAGUUGAAAAGAGAGGGACGCCACAGAUGGGUGACCCUGUCCACUUUAAGCAAGGUGACAUCCAGGUCUCUCAGUGGGACCUAAUGACCUACCCCACACGGAGUGGGGUUUUGCACCUUGGCCUUGGCUGCGGUUUGUUGCCUUUUUCUCGUUGCCUGAUUGAUUUAUCCUCAUGGUUUAUGCAGAUUGGGCACCUUGCAAACCAGGCAGAGCAGCUAGAGGGAGGGAGAACAGGCAGAGCUUAUGGAGGGUGUGUGUGUGUGUGUGUGUGUGUGUGUGUGUGUGUGUGUACGAAAGGAACACUCCUGGUUUAGUGACUCUGAUCAGCUGCAGAAAUCCAUGUUUUAAAAUGGUGGAGGGGCGCCUGGGUGGCUCAGUCGGUUGAGCAUCCGACUCUUGGUUUCGGCUCAGGUCACGAUCUCAUGGUUUGUGGGAUCAAGCACCGCAUUGGGCUGUGUGCUACGAGCAUGGACCCCUGCUUGGGAUUCUUUCUCUCCCUCUGCCCCAUUCCCUUGCUUUCUCUCUGAAUGAAUGAAUGAAUGAAUGAAUGAAUGAAUGAAUAAACAAACAAAUAAAAUGGUGGAAAGCUGGGCACCUGGCCGGCUCAGUCGGUGGAGCCUGAAACUCUUGAUCUCAGGGUCGUGGGUUCUAGCCCCACACUCGGCAUGGAGCCUACCUUAAAAAAGAAUCUUAAAAUGGUAGAAAGAGAAAAAUCAUCACAUGAAUUAAAAUUAUCCUAAUGGAGGCACUCUCUGGUGGAUUCCCUUUACCCACAUCCACCCCAAUCUGGGGAAUAAUAUUUCUGUCGUCUCUUUUGUAUAUAACAUCAUUUUAUUUACAGCAUGUUUCUCUAUGUUACUGGUAUUUUGUCAUUGGGGUAUUUUGUUUGAAUGACCUUUAAUAGUAGUCUCCAUUUCACAGGAUGGGAAGUGUGUGGAGAUGUUACCUCACUUGUUCAAGAUGAUGGGGGUGACAGGGUGACAGGGGUCAUAGUUUAGGUCUUCUCUUUUUGGAAGUUCACGUUUUUUCCCUUAUACCACAGAACUUCCUAGAUUUAGUCAAAGGUGGGAGGAGAUUGGUGCUGAAUUUUAAAAACGGCAGUAAAUUUACAUACAGUACAAUGGAUAGAACUUAAGUAUAUACUUAGCUGUGUUUGACGAGUGAAGUUACCCAUGUAACCAACACCCAGUUAAGAUGUAGAGUCCUUCCAUCACCCUGGAAAGUUUCCCUUUUUUUAAAAAAAAAUGUUUAUUUAUUUUUGAGAGAGAAACAGAGCAUAAGUUGGGGAGGGGUAGAGAGAGAGGAAGACACAGAAUCCGAAGCAGGCUCCAGGCUCCGAGCUGUCAGCCCAGAGCCCGAUGUGGGGCUCAAACCCACGAACCACAGGAUCAUGACCUGAGCUGAAGUCGGACGCUUAACCAACUGAGCCACCCAGGUGCCCCUGGAAAGUUUCCUUUUGCCACUUUGAACUUUAGUUCACCCCCAACCUCCAUUCCAGAUAACAACUGUUCAAAAUUUUUACCAUCACAGAUUAAUUUUGCCAGUUCUUACGUUUUAUAUUAUUGGAAUCAUAUGGUAUAUAUACAGUUGAUCUUUGAAUAACACGGGUUUGAGUGUGCAGGUCUAAUUUUAUGAGGAUUUUUUUCAAUAAAUACAGUAAGUGCUGUAAAUGUAUUUUCCUUAUGAUUUUCUUCAUCAAAAUUUCUGUAGCCUACUUUAUUGUAAGAAUACAAUAUGUAAUAUGUAAAACAUACAAAAUACACGUUAACGGUUUAUGUUAUUGGUAAGGCUUCUGGUUAGCAUUAUGCUAUUAUUAGUUGGUGUUAGAGGAGAUAGAAAGUUAAGAAUGGCAAAACUCAAAAACACAAGAAACAAUAAGUGUUGGCAAGGGUUUGGAGGAAGAGGACCCCUCGUGCACUGUUGGUGGGGAUGUAAACUGGUGCAGCCACUGUAGAAAGCAGUAUGGAUGUUCCUCAAAAAAUUAAAAAUAGACUUACUAUCUGAUCCAGUAAUCCCAUUACUGGGUAUUUACCCAAAGACUACAGAAACACUAAUCCAGAAAGAUAUGUGCACCGCUGUUUAUCGCUGCAUCAUUUAGACUAGCCAAAUUACGGAAGCAGCCCAAGUGUCCAUCGAUGGAUGGAUAAAGAAGAUGUGUGGUGUAUUAUAUACAGUGGAAUAUUACUCAGCCAUAAAAACAAAUGAAAUCUUGACAUUUGUGAUAACAUGGAUGGAUCUAGAGAGUAUACUGCUAAGUGAGAUAAGUCAGUCAGAGAAAGGCAAAUACCAUAUGAUUUCACUCAUAUGUGGAAUUUCAGGGACAAAGCAAGUGAACGAAGCAAAAGGACGUAAAUCAAAAAAAAACAGACUCUUAACUCUAGAGAGCAAGCAGAUGGUUACCAGAGUGGGGGUGGGUGGGAGGAUGGGGGAAGUAGGUGAAGAGAAUUCAGAAUACACUUGGGAUGUGUCCCGAGUAAUGUACAGAAUUGCUGAGCCACUGUAUUGUGUACCUGAAACGAAAGAUAACACUGCAUGUUAACUAUACUGGAGUUAAAAUGAAAAGGAAUACCUCAGUGAAUCGAUUUGCAACUACCUGCGGGGGUUGGAACUCCGAACCCCCACAUUGUUAAAAGGUCAACACUGUCCUUUUGUGCCUAGCUUUUGCUCAUUGUAAUGUUUUUUGAGAUUUUUACGUGUUGUUGCUUGGAUCGAUUGUUUAUUGCAAGUGGGUAGAUAGUCUGCUGUAUGAAUGUACCAUUAUCUGUUUAUCCAAUCUCACUUGAGGUUUUUUUUUUUUU
This is a long non-coding RNA of Acinonyx jubatus (cheetah), 6498 nucleotides long. RefSeq lists it as uncharacterized. NCBI's taxonomy places the organism in Eukaryota, Metazoa, Chordata, Mammalia, Carnivora, Felidae. The record is from RefSeq and is a predicted model, not a curated record. The transcript is spliced from 2 exons.